AUUGAACGCUGGCGGCAGGCCUAACACAUGCAAGUCGAGCGGAUGAAGGGAGCUUGCUCCUGGAUUCAGCGGCGGACGGGUGAGUAAUGCCUAGGAAUCUGCCUGGUAGUGGGGGAUAACGUCCGGAAACGGGCGCUAAUACCGCAUACGUCCUGAGGGAGAAAGUGGGGGAUCUUCGGACCUCACGCUAUCAGAUGAGCCUAGGUCGGAUUAGCUAGUUGGUGGGGUAAAGGCCUACCAAGGCGACGAUCCGUAACUGGUCUGAGAGGAUGAUCAGUCACACUGGAACUGAGACACGGUCCAGACUCCUACGGGAGGCAGCAGUGGGGAAUAUUGGACAAUGGGCGAAAGCCUGAUCCGGCCAUGCCGCGUGUGUGAAGAAGGUCUUCGGAUUGUAAAGCACUUUAAGUUGGGAGGAAGGGCAGUAAGUUAAUACCUUGCUGUUUUGACGUUACCAACAGAAUAAGCACCGGCUAACUUCGU
Molecule: ribosomal RNA, 483 nt
Filed under: uncultured bacterium
Lineage: Bacteria
Description: partial 16S ribosomal RNA
Rfam family: Bacterial small subunit ribosomal RNA
Source: RNAcentral